Molecule: transfer RNA, 72 nt
Filed under: bacterium
Lineage: Bacteria
Description: tRNA-Glu
Rfam family: tRNA
About the family: Transfer RNA (tRNA) molecules are approximately 80 nucleotides in length. Their secondary structure includes four short double-helical elements and three loops (D, anti-codon, and T loops). Further hydrogen bonds mediate the characteristic L-shaped molecular structure. tRNAs have two regions of fundamental functional importance: the anti-codon, which is responsible for specific mRNA codon recognition, and the 3' end, to which the tRNAs corresponding amino acid is attached (by aminoacyl-tRNA synthetases). tRNAs cope with the degeneracy of the genetic code in two manners: having more than one tRNA (with a specific anti-codon) for a particular amino acid; and 'wobble' base-pairing, i.e. permitting non-standard base-pairing at the 3rd anti-codon position.
Source: RNAcentral
GGUUCCAUCGGCUAACGGUUAGGCCACAAGGUUUUCAUCCUUGUAAUCGGGGUUCGAUUCCCCGUGGGAUCA